UACGGAGGGAGCUAGCGUUGUUCGGAAUUACUGGGCGUAAAGCGCACGUAGGCGGCUUUGUAAGUUAGAGGUGAAAGCCUGGGGCUCAACCCCAGAAUUGCCUUUAAGACUGCAUCGCUUGAAUCCGGGAGAGGUGAGUGGAAUUCCGAGUGUAGAGGUGAAAUUCGUAGAUAUUCGGAAGAACACCAGUGGCGAAGGCGGCUCACUGGACCGGUAUUGACGCUGAGGUGCGAAAGCGUGGGGAGCGAACAGG
Molecule: ribosomal RNA, 253 nt
Filed under: uncultured bacterium
Lineage: Bacteria
Description: partial 16S ribosomal RNA
Rfam family: Bacterial small subunit ribosomal RNA
Source: RNAcentral